RNAcentral lists this ribosomal RNA (433 nucleotides) under uncultured bacterium. Its description in RNAcentral is "partial 16S ribosomal RNA". It matches the Rfam family "Bacterial small subunit ribosomal RNA", at positions 29 to 507 of the family's 1533-position model. The record is from RNAcentral.
AACGAACGCUGGCGGCAUGCCUAACACAUGCAAGUCGAACGAGACCUUCGGGUCUAGUGGCGCACGGGUGCGUAACGCGUGGGAACCUUCCCUUAGGUUCGGAAUAACUCCCCGAAAGGGGUGCUAAUACCGGAUAAUGUCUUCGGACCAAAGAUUUAUCGCCUUUGGAUGGGCCCGCGUUGGAUUAGCUAGUUGGUAGGGUAAAAGCCUACCAAGGCGACGAUCCAUAGCUGGUCUGAGAGGAUGAUCAGCCACACUGGGACUGAGACACGGCCCAGACUCCUACGGGAGGCAGCAGUGGGGAAUAUUGGAAAAUGGGCGAAAGCCUGAUCCAGCAAUGCCGCGUGAGUGAUGAAGGCCUUAGGGUUGUAAAGCUCUUUUACCCGGGAUGAUAAUGACAGUACCGGGAGAAUAAGCUCCGGCUAACUCCGUG